UUGCUUUGGCAGCAAAUAAACAAAAAUAGGAAUAAUACAUAGAAUAUUAGCAUGACCCCUGCACAAGGAUAACAUUCAAAUUAGUAAAAUGCAAAAUAUUUGG
Non-coding RNA from Erinaceus europaeus (western European hedgehog), 103 nucleotides. Lineage: Eukaryota; Metazoa; Chordata; Mammalia; Eulipotyphla; Erinaceidae. The record is from Rfam.